RNAcentral lists this long non-coding RNA (7677 nucleotides) under Heterocephalus glaber (naked mole-rat). Its description in RNAcentral is "lncRNA (ENSHGLG00000042088.1)". The record is from RNAcentral. Lineage: Eukaryota; Metazoa; Chordata; Mammalia; Rodentia; Bathyergidae.
GCUCCACCAACCUGCAGCGGGUGUGUAACACAGCACACCGGCUAAGCCCUGGUAGCCCGGAACUCUUCUCUUGGAAAAAGUGCACUCGGCCAAAGUGGUCUCAAACCCCUGACAGCGCACUUGCAAGCAUUCUGUGGAGUUUAUCUGGAGAUCUUCAGAAUAAUGAAACCUUCCCCGAGUAUCAAGAGCACCUCUGGAAGCAGCAAAACGAAACGUGAUGGUAAAAAAUUACUACUUGCAUUUUACUGUCAUACUGUAGGAGUGCUUAUGUGGCAACGGCCAUGCUACCCGUCAUGUGGAAGGCCACUCAAUCCUCACACCCACCUUGUAAAGAUGAAGCCCGCCUUGUCUCCAUUUUUUCACAGGAGGAACCUAAAUCUAGGAGACGUUAAAUUCCCGGCCCAAGUGGUGAAGCCAGGAAUUGGAAGCUGCUCUGUUAUCUCACUGCAGAGUCUUAGAAGUAAGUCACUUCCGGAAAGGCCCGAAGGGUUUGUGUGUUCUCCCACAUUCAGUGCCUGAGGAGAGGGCUGGCACUGACAGACACAGGGCCUAACUCUUGCUCUUCCCCUGUCAUAGCCAGCCGAGGUGGGCUAAGUGGAAAGCUUUAGUUCUCUUUUUACCUCUCCAUCCUAACUCAGCAUCAGAAAACUACACAGGCUACGACUGUGAGCUGGUGGCUCGCAGCACCUUUAAAAAGAGCACGUUAAGCAUUUGCUUCUCUGACAACUUGAUAGCGGAAGGCAGUGGUGAGCCUGAGUUUUGCUCUUAUGGCUAAAAUUUAAUAAACAUUUUCUUUGUGUCAAGGACUAGGCAAAGAACUUUAUCUGCAUCAUUUUAUUAACUUCCACAAGAAUUUUAUGACUUGGGAACUUUGAGCAUUCACAUUUGACAGAUGGAAGAACUGGGGCCCAGCGAUUCCCACAGCUGGUCAGUAACAGAGGUGGGCAUGGAGGAGAUGGAAACUGAGAACCUAAUCCUGUGCCUCGAGUCGUAGCCCCUCGUUCCAUAGGCACCUAUAGGGUACAGGCAAAUUUGCCUGAUGUGCCAAGCUGGCUAGGGGAGCAUGCCUAGCUCCGGCGUCUCUCAGCCCCUCAGAUACCCAGGGGCAGCCGGUGCAGGGAUGGGGCCGAGGGAAGAUGCUGGAAGAAACACUGGGGGCUGGGACCCAAAGGCUGAGCGGACCCAGCCCUCCUGUGUGACUAGCCUGCCAAGGCCUUCUCACUGACUCUGAACCAGCUGGGCGGUCCCGGGGAGGGGCCCUUUGACAACGCCAAAGGGCAGCAGUGAGACCUCAGAGCCAGGUGCUCUGGGCUCAUGGCUGGAUUCAGGUGACUCCCGAUUUCUUUAGUUACCACUUCAGUUACUGUUGAGGUGUCAAGCAUUUUGAGUCAUCAUCCGAACAUUCCACAGCCAAGGUCUUUCCUAAGAGAAAGGCUGGUAUACAGUGGCCCUCUUAGGUCACAACAUAACAUGAUAAAUAGGCUGUUCUACCUUCAGCUGUGCACGUUCCUGUUAUUUAAAAACUUGGCCUCUGGACGAAGGCAUUCAAAGCUCUUCAGAUGGCAGUACGUUGGAAAGCUUCUCCCGUUGGUUGAACACACGGAGGUGCCGUUCUUGGGGCACUGAUAGGGGAGUUUGCAAAUACAGGUCCCGUCCCACGCACUUCUCCCACGGCUGGCAGAAGACUUUGCUGCAGGAGCGAUGUGUGUAUUUGUUCAAUAAGCACUUGGCAUCCACCAGGUCCUCCUGAGGGGCGGCUGGCGCUGAAGGGAGCUAUAAAACACAAAAGAGCCAUCGGCUUAGCAGCAAACCCAAAGCUGCUUUUUCAAACACAGAUGAGGAUGAUGGGGUCCGGUGGUUUUAGGAACCAGACAAACCUGGCUUCUUGCCCCAGUUUGGGUCAUAUAACUUUGGGAAAGUUACCUCAUGAACAUGGUUUCCUCAUCUGCAAUUCUGCGAGGUAAUUAUAAAGAUUAGAAAUCAUAUGCGUCAUGCGAUGGUUGGCAGGUGCUACGUAGGCAAUUAAUGGAAGCUGUUAUUACCCUAAGGCCAACAUAAAAUUAUGCCUCCAAAGAAGUCAGUGAAUCUCAGCAGUCAUGUUAAGGAGCAACACAUUUGGUGCUGAACAUGUCUUAUGGAAUGCAUUUGUUUUUCUGUUAUUAAACACAAAGCCAUUUUUUGAGCUCCUACUAUACGUAAAGUCUUUCUAGGAUGGACAUGAACUGGUCUCCACCUCCAAGGACUUUCUUUCUAGGCAGUAAGGCAGGACCCACAUACUAGUAGGACACUGGCAGAUGGUGGUGAGUGAUGUAACUGGGGUACAAAAGCAGCACAGUAGACUUAGGGAAACAGGGUAGGAGAGUGCGUGUGCUAGUCCCGCGGAACGAGGCCAGGAAGGACAGGUCUGGCUGUCAGGAUCCCGUGUUUGCCACAGACAGGGGAGGGCUGAUGCGGAACAUUUCGGGAGUGGGUACAGUGAUGGGACUCAGCAGUCUAAUCCAUGUGUGGGCUGAAGGGGACCCUAGGUUUUUCACGCUGAGUGAACGAGUGAUGUUUCUUUCACCGACCACAAGUAUUAAAGGACUGCUUGAUCUACUGCAUAUAAAGCCUUAUCCUCAAAGCAUUAACAAUGAGUAAAAUAACUCGAUUGCAUUUGAAGAGAGCUGACCAUUUGAGACCAUUUGCACUUAAUGCUUGUCAGGGUCCCAGACACUCACUAGAUAUAGAACACGAUGUUUAUAGUGUCAGCCUGCAACUUCAUUUAUAAAAAGGCUGAAGUCAUUUACAUGGAAUCUUGUUCUAUAUACUACAUGCCAAUCUGUAUGUAAGUUGUAUAGUUAGGCACUUUAUAAGUUUUUCAUGAAAUAUAUUCCACAUAAUACAGAAAUAUUGUUCAUACUGAUGAGAAUGAAAUUUGCAUUGAGCAGAGCUUUAGGUUUGCAAUUUAAAAAUUUUUUUUUGAGCAGAGCUUUAAAAUGAGUGUAAGUAGCAGUAAACAUUUUCUUUCUGCAACCUGUACUUAUACGUUCUUCCUGUAAACUACAUAAAAAUAUUGUAGUGAAUUUUGGUGGUGAUUUUAAAGGUUUUGAUUAGGUCAAUAAUUGCUUAAGCACUGUUUAAUUCAUGUUGAAAUAUCUUUACUUUUAGUUCUGAAUAUCUAAAAACUCAUUUAAUUAAUAUGCUAUUCUUGAUUUAGUGGUAUUCUCUAUUCAUAUUUUUGGUAUUUAACCUAGUUAGUUUAGGCUCAGUCAUAAUAGUGGAUAGAGUCUCUGUUAUUUCAAGAGAUGUUAAAUAUUUAUACGCUGUGUUGACUAGCUCAAAUGUGAAUUCUGUUAGUGUUGCUAAAGAAGAAUCUGGUAGUUUUUUUUUAAAGAAUGUCUGAAAUAUAGUCUUACAACUAAUAUCAUAGUGGUGAGCCUUUCCCUAUGUGUUUAUUGUCCUUGUUCUUUACUAGGUAUCUUUUUUCAGCUAAUAUGUCCUUAUAAUUAAAUAAAAAAUUUUGAAAAGUAAUGAAGUAUGGUUAAUGACAUUAUCCAACGAAAAACUCAGUGGUCCAAUUAUUAAAACAUUUGUGUUAAAAUUUUGGCUUAAAAAUGCAAAUUUAAGUGUGUUUACUUAUAUAGCAGCCCAUUUAUUUACAUAUGAAUAUAUUCAAGGAUACUGGGAGCAUUGCUCAAAAUGUUUUGGCAAUUAGUACUGUAGCCAAUUUGUCUACUAAGCACGACCCCACUCCUUUAGGUGCUGCUGCUGUGUUGUGCAUGAGGACUUAAGAAAAAAAACCUUUCCUUGAUAGCUGUAAUGAUGUAGCAAUUACACUUCUGUGUGUUUCUCUAGGCAGGAGUACAAGGAAAGCAGUUUAGACAGUUCCUAGAAAACGAAGAAGAAAUCAAACAAUCUCCUAUUCUAUGCCGUAUCAACCCUCACGUACAGAUAAAUAGCUUUACCUCAUGCUUCUUUGUCACCUGGUUUUUCCAAUGUUUUCCAUAUUUGCCCUAUAAACGAGAGGGGAGAAAAGAUGAUCAAGUAUGACCAAAACAAGAAAAGCUCCCCCACUUUCCCCUCUCUAUGGACAUUGUUGGGGAGCCCCACUCUGCUGCGAGCUCUGUGUAAUCUUGGUAAGGGGCUGUCUUCCUCCCUCCCCCCUCCCUCCCUUCCUUUGUUUCUUCCUUUCUGUUUUCUCAUCUUGUUUUUAAAAUUUACUUUAUGAGUCCACGUUUGCAGUACAUACUGACCACAUUCAUAGAGAGGUGUUGGUACUUGUACAUAAUACUUAAUUCUGACCCAUCCUGCUUUUGUAAAACGUGGAAAAUAAAAAUAAUGUUCUCACAUAGUUACUUUGAGGAUCAAGUGAAACAUGCAGGAGAAAGCAAAGAGACAUUUAAGAACUUAUAUUGGCUGAGGAUGUAGCUCAGGGCUAGAGUGCUUGUAAUAGCAUUCAAAAGGCCUUUGGUUGAAUUGCUGGCACUACCAAAAGAAAUUCCAUCUAGAUCCUGUAUAUAUAUAGAUGCUGCACGAACGCUAAUAUGGUGAUGAUUCUGGCAGGCAGCACAAAGCCCCACGUCUUCUACCCUCCCCUCAGUCCAGCCGCUCUCUGUGCCUCUCCCUGGGGACCAGGCUAUGUCCUUAUCCUUUGCCUCUGGACGGAAGGGAUCAGAUGUGACACAGAGAUGCUUGGACGCUGCUCCUUCGACCAGGACUGUCUCCGGUAUCUGUGCACAGCUGUGAGAACGUGGUUGGGUCAGCAAAAAGCAGAAGGGAAGAACCACCCUUCCCAGCUGGGCCUCCUCCGUCAGCUGGUCCUGGCCGACCUGCAGGCUGCAGUCUUGCCCUCCGAGAGCUGGUGGUGGUUCUGUGAUGGCAUUAACCAGCUGGGGCAACGUGGCUUCCCAGAAGAAAAAGUGGAAAACUCAGAAAGAGUCAACAGGAUAGAACUAUCCGUCCACACGGAGGAAGCGACUUGGAUCCCAAGAGUUAUCAACCAGUCAGAACCUGUUUCAGGGAAGAGUUUGAGGCCUGGCUCCCUCAGCCCCUCCGCAUCACGGUGUUCACUAGUAAUUUUGUCUCCUUCGGACCUGGAGCAGCUCUGCAUGGGACACAAGGCUGGCCCGAGACACCUCACAGCAUUACCCAGCGACCGCUCUCUUCAGAACAAAAUAAAAGGCAAAUAAGAAGGGAAGGGGAGGGCUGGGGAUUUAGCUCAGUGGUUUCGCCGCCUGCUGCACAAGCGCAAGGACCUGAGUUCGAUCCCUGGUACCAAAAAAGAAGGGAAGGGGAUCAAGCGAAGAUCAAGCGAAGGAAGACUGGGGUGGGAAGAGAAGGGAACGGAAGGGACAUAAAAGGAUGUAGGAUGUGUUGUGUGCACGCACCAAUUCCCGACGACGACGAUGAAUGCAAUCGUUAUGCACUGCAAAUGUUUGCUAAUAAAAAUUUAAAAGAAUUAAAAAAUAGGCAGUGAAUGUUUUUCUAUUAAUACCUCACAACGAGUUGUUCCAAUUCACACAAGAAACUUGAUAGUUUUUUUUAUUGUUUUCAUGUCUUUGGUUGUUUUUGAAAUCAGCACCUCCCCUUCCCAGGAUCAGGAUGUUGACAGAAACCUCGGACAGGCUCUUGUGCACUCAUGCCAAGACUUUCUAAAGCACUGGAAAGACUGCUUUGGGAUCAACUAUCAUUUUCCCUCACAGAUUACAAAAACCAUUGGCCUGGUUUCUUGAUCUUGUUUCUUUUCAUAAUGAAUGUGAGAUGUCUGAAAUUUUAUUUUCUUUAUUUGUAAUUGCUUGUUUUAAUACAGAAAACAUAGCGAAAUGUUUCAACAGGCUCAGAAAAGUUCCUGGGGAGUUCCAUCUCCUCUCAAGCUACCCAGCCCACUCGGAAGCAACCACUUACCGGUUCCUGGUGCAGUUUUUAGGUCCAGCACUGUACAGGUGAGCCCCUAUUUCUCUCUCUACUCCCCCCAAACCAGGGACAUUUACAACUAAGGGCCCCAUACCCAGCCCGCCAAAGGGAAUUAGACUGUUUCCAAUGUUUUCCUAUUAUAAAUAAUUCUAUAAUGAAUUCUCUAUGUAAUAUGUAUCAUUUCCCACAGGUGCUCAGUAUAUUUUCAGAUUUGCCCGGAAGCGGAAUUGCUGAAUCUAGGGAAUGAGCGUUGUAAUGCUGGAGGACAGAGCCUAGUUUUUCGCCGCAGAGGGCGCUCCAACUUGCACCCUCGUCCUCCAUAGACAGUGCGCCUGCGCAGUUCUCACACAGGGACCGCAGCCACCGUUCGACCCGUUAAGCUUCUUUUAUUGCUGUCAAUUUGAUAUUAAAACUCCCAUUGGCGUACACUUUCAUUUGCAUUUCCCCUUAUGAAUGUUGUUGAAAAUCUUUUAAUACGGCAUAAAUUUUAAGAGAAAUUUUUAUUUCUCCACGUACUAGCCAUAAUCUUUUUGGUGUAAUUAGAUCCCUUUUCUUUCACCUUUCUUUCUUUCUUUCUUUCUUUCUUUCUUUCUUUCUUUCUUUCUUUCUUUCUUUCUUUCUUUCUGUACUGGGCAUUGAAUCCAAGCACUUCACACUAAGCAAUAUCCGCAGCCCUUUAUUAAUUUUAUUUUAAGUUUUGAAACAGGGCUUCACUGAGACACAAAGUAGCCCAGUCUGGGCUGGAACUUGAGUCUUUCCUGCUUCAGCCUCCCAGAGCGAGGACUAUAGAGCAACAUUUAAACUUCUGCAUCUGCUACUCAAGCUCAGGAAAAUGGAAUAACUCGAGUUUGAAGACAGAGCCCACAGCCAGCUCGGAAAGCUCCAGUGCAUAAUGGGCCUGACAUCCCACUCCUACGGAGGCUGAACUUAGCGUGUGCUGCGUCCACGCCCACUCACAACACGAGGUCGGUGCGGGAUGCGUCAUUUGAGGAAGUGCUCGUGCUGCUUACGUUCCCACCCGCAGCAGCCGUUAACCGUUCUGUCCACUACACCAGCUGCUGACAGAGGGCUGCUUAAAUUUUAAAUUAAUUAAAAUUAAAUUAAAAGGAAAUUCUGUUUCCAGCCAAGUCAGAGAAAUAGGGACCAGAUGUACCCUCCAGCCUAAAACAAUCAACAAACAAACAAAAUAGGAGGCCUUGGUUUUCAAGACACAGGACCUCAGAGAACUCGGCACUCAUGGGAGAGAGGAGCGCACACAAGAAUCUGGCCUCAGUAGCAGGGAAUAAUUAGCUCCAGGCUAAGCCCUGUUCCUAUCUUACCUGAGAAAGCUGGAGGGCAGGACCUGAAAGGGUCCAGUGUUUCCAAGCAACUGAACUGCAUCCCAGAACAAAGCUUUGUGUGUUUGCAGGAACAACAACAAAAACACACGGCAUUUGAUAAAGGAUUGAAGAAAAAUUUAUUUUUGGAAGACUUCAAUGGAAAGAGGCUCCCUUUUUUCUUUAGGUGGAAUAUUAUUAUAUGGAUUUAAAAUGUUUUUCUUCUACACAUGAGAAAGGGAUUCAGACUAUUUAUUUUUAAGUUUACUUUUAUAAAUAAAUUCAUUUUCAUAAAAAAUGAGUAAAUUUUCUCAAUUUUGAAAUUUAGAAAAAUGAGGAGUAAAAAAUAAAGUCGUCAGGAUCCAAUUAUCUACAGAAACCUUUUAUUUGAUACAUACUGUAUUACUUUUGUUGUUGUUGACACCCACAAUUUAAAUGAGGAGAGGUUUAAUUUGGCUCACAGUUUCAG